AUGGCCGGCGACGGCGCCGGCGCGGCCGGGCUGCUCCUCCUGGCCCUGGCCGCCCUCGUCGCGGCGGCGGCGGCGGAGUCCGAGGGCGACGUGCUGCUGGCGCUCCGGGCGACCCUGCGCGGGCCGUCCGGCGACGGCCCCCCGGCGCCGCUCGACCAGUGGGUCUCCUCCGCCGGCACCGGCCCGUGCCAGGACCCGGUCUGGUACGCGGUGCGGUGCUCCUCCAACAAGGUGCUCGGCCUCCGCCUCGAGUACCUCGGCCUCCAGGGCAACGCCCCCGACAUGGCCCCGCUCGCGGCCCUCACGUCCCUCCGCGUGCUCAGCUUCGCCAACAACAACCUCACCGGCCCGUUCCCGCCCGGGCUCACCGAGCUCCCGGCGCUCAAGAUGCUCUACCUCUCCCGGAACCGCCUCAGCGGCGAAAUCCCCGGCGACACCUUCGGGGCCAUGAUGGGGCUCAGGAAGCUCUUCCUCGCCGACAACACCUUCACGGGCGCCAUCCCAGACUCCAUCACCUCGCCCAAGCUGCUCGUGGUGCAGCUCGCCAGGAACCGCUUCCAGGGCAACAUCCCGGACUUCGACCAGAAGGACCUCCAGCUCUUCGACGUCUCCCACAACCGACUCUCCGGCCCCAUCCCGCAAGGCCUCCGCCGGUUCAAGGCCGCCUCGUUCGAAGGCAACACGGAUCUCUGCGGCGCGCCGCUCGACGUUGCGUGCCCUCCGUCGGCGCUUCUCGGCGCCUCACCAGAUUCCGACUCAUCAGGCAGCCUGAGGGUCCUCAUGAUCAUCGCCAUCGCGGUGGUGGCGUUCGGCGGCCUCCUCGCCAUCAUCGGCAUAAUCACGGCGCUCAUGUCCCGCAACAAGGACAAGGACGAGCCGGCCGACGCCACCGAGACACCCGGCAUUGCCGCGGCCAAGAUGCAGUCCACGGCCGACAAGUCCAUCAAGAUCGCACAGGCUGACUCGGAGCAGCACGGCGUGGUGGCGCCGGUGCCGUCCAAGCGCGGCGGGCGGCGCGACGGGCUGGUGUUCCUCCAGGAGGGCCGGGAGCGGUUCGAGCUGGAGGACCUGCUCCGGGCGUCGGCGGAGGUGCUCGGCAGCGGCAACUUCGGCGCGUCGUACAAGGCGACCCUGGUGGAAGGGAAGCCCAUGGUGGUGAAGCGGUUCAAGGAGAUGAACGGCGCCGGGCGGGCGGACUUCAACGAGCACAUGCGACGCCUCGGCCGUCUUGUCCACCCCAACCUCCUCCCCGUCGUCGCCUACCUCUACAAGAAGGACGAGAAGCUGUUCGUCACGGAACACAUGGUCAACGGCGGCCUGGCUCAAAUCCUCCAUGGCGGAGCGACGUCGAGCCUGCGGCUGGACUGGCCGGCGCGGCUGAAGAUCAUCAAGGGGGUGGCGCGCGGGCUGGCGUACCUGUACGAGGAGCUGCCGAUGCUCACGGUGCCGCACGGGCACCUCAAGUCCUCCAACGUGCUCCUGGACGCCGACAUGGAGCCCAUCCUGAGCGACUACGCGCUGGUCCCCGUGGUGACGCCGAGCCACGCGUCGCAGGUGAUGGUGGCGUACAAGGCGCCCGAGUGCGCGACGGCGGGGCGGGCGAGCAAGAAGAGCGACGUGUGGACGCUGGGCAUCCUGGUGCUGGAGCUGCUGACGGGCCGGUUCCCGACCAACUACCUCCGGAAGGGGCGGGAGGGCACGACGGACCUGGCCGGCUGGGUGCACUCGGUGGUGCGGGAGGAGUGGACGGGCGAGGUGUUCGACAAGGACAUGCGCGACACCCGCAGCGCCGAGGGCGAGAUGGUGAAGCUGCUCAAGGUCGGCCUCGGCUGCUGCGACACCGACGUCGCCGCGCGCUGGGACAUCAAGGAGGCACUGGCGCGCAUCGAGGAGGUCCGCGAGCGCGACCCCGCCGACGACAGCAGCACCGCCUCCUCCUACCUCAGCGACGGCGCCGGCGCCGGCGCCGCGAACGACCACCCGCACUCCCUCUCGACGUAA
RNAcentral lists this ribosomal RNA (2001 nucleotides) under Triticum aestivum (bread wheat). RNAcentral describes it as "partial small subunit ribosomal RNA". The record is from RNAcentral. Lineage: Eukaryota; Viridiplantae; Streptophyta; Magnoliopsida; Poales; Poaceae.